Molecule: long non-coding RNA, 1644 nt
Organism: Sciurus carolinensis (gray squirrel)
Lineage: Eukaryota; Metazoa; Chordata; Mammalia; Rodentia; Sciuridae
Exons: 3
Source: RefSeq, a predicted model, not a curated record
AGGGGGUGCGCGGACCACGGGGGCCGGCUGCUCCCCGCUGCGGCUCUGAGCUGGGGGUCGGCAGUGCGGGCGGGGGCAGAGGCGCGCGCGGUUUGUGCGCCUGCCGCGGGCUGCCUUUCUCGAGCUGGGGUUUAGUCGCUCCGUAAGUCUGCCUGUCUCGGAGUCCGCAGCUAGUGGCCCAGUCGGUUGCCUCUGCCUCCUGUUGCAGGUCUGUUUCUGGCUCUUUGCCCUCUUGGGUCCUCGCGCCCCCCCAACACAGACGCGCAGUCUGGAGUGUAUAUGACUGAAGAAAACACCAUGUUGAGCCAAGAGGAAGCUGUGGGUAUCAGAAUAAAGUGAGCUUGCUCUGGAAAAAUACACCGCCUAGUUGUAUCUGGGGCCUAGUUGGUCUGGAGAGUUUGACAUUCUGGAGAAUCCUGAGUUACCUCCUCGAGCACCCAUAAUUGAAUUGAUGGCUCCAGUAAUCUACCUUCAAGAUGAAGCCAAUACCUGGGAAGAUAAGGAAGAAAAAUGGGAAGAAGCUCUUUGGUGACACUAUUGGGGCCUCUGGGCCAACACUUGCUUCGUGUCUGAGCUUCAUUUUCAGUUUAUAUGAGUCAAUGUAUUAUUUUCAUUCUGUAAGACUAGUUAGGAUUUGGUCCCUUGUGGUAAAAAGCACCCUAAUGAAAAUAUUUCCUAUUUGAGAUAAUUUAAGCAUCUGACUUUUGAUAAAGUUUUGUCAUCUCUAAUGAAAACCAAAGUUCUAGGCCACACUAGAACCAGAAAACCAAGUCCACAGAACUCCAGAUUUACAAAAGAAUAAAUUAUUACAUUUUAAAGGAGUUUCACAAUUUUUAUAGGAGGUUAACUAUAUGAGCCAGUUUCACUAUUUAGUUUCUGCAGUAAAUUAAAAUGUGACUCACUUAAUAUAUACCUUUUAAGGAACAUAUCAGUUGUGUUAAGUGGAAGCAAGCCUGUUCUGGACAUCUGGGGGUAUUUAACGUCAUCUGUCUAUGAAACAUCUGAGGGUCUAAUAGUAAGCAGCCUUUUGUGUCAAAUAUUUAAGAUGCCUUCUGGAGUUAGUUUGAAGCUUGCAAAGACUAUGAGAUUUGUAGUUAGACAUAUCUUGUCAAGCAAAUAAGAGCAAAUGACCAGGCAGCGCGGACAUUGUUUUUGAGGAACAUAUUAUGUGGUGAAUUCCUGGGGAGCUGUAGCAGGUGCAUAAUAACUCUGUGGUUCAUCAUGUACUAUGACGGCACAGUGACCUUCUCCCCUGAACUUUAGGACUUCUGAGAAAGAUAACCGUAUGUCCCUGUUUUCCCAGAUAGUUCCAGUUUACAUUGUCAUAAUUAUUAAUAACACUCUCUACCAGUUUCUGCUUAUAAGCUGCAUCAUUGAGGAAUACCAGCACAUAGUGACACACAGAUCAAAUUAAAAUUGAGGAACAAAAUAGUAGAGGAAGGAGGGACUGGACUGGCAUCUGGAAAACCAGGAGAGAGACUGUAGUGAUAAUUAUGUAGGGAGAACUUUUGUACUAAGUAUCUCAUAAACAAAAUGGGAUUUAUUGUUUGGCAGUGUUAAGGGGAUGUGAUGAAUGCUUUCUAAAAAUUGUAAGCAUAAAACAAAUACUAAAAUAAAUUAAAAAAAAAAAAACCUCAGUGACAA